UACGUAGGGGGCGAGCGUUGUUCGGAAUUACUGGGCGUAAAGGGCGCGUGGGCGGCCUGCUAAGUCGAACGUGAAAUCCCUGGGCUCAACCCAGGAACUGCGUCCGAUACUGGUUGGCUUGAAUCCGGGAGAGGGAUGUGGAAUUCCAGGUGUAGCGGUGAAAUGCGUAGAUAUCUGGAGGAACACCGGUGGCGAAGGCGACAUCCUGGACCGGUAUUGACGCUGAGGCGCGAAAGCUAGGGGAGCAAACGGG
RNAcentral lists this ribosomal RNA (253 nucleotides) under uncultured bacterium. Its description in RNAcentral is "partial 16S ribosomal RNA". It matches the Rfam family "Bacterial small subunit ribosomal RNA", at positions 524 to 776 of the family's 1533-position model. The record is from RNAcentral.